Molecule: ribosomal RNA, 429 nt
Filed under: Gemmatimonadota bacterium
Lineage: Bacteria; Pseudomonadati; Gemmatimonadota
Description: Gemmatimonadetes bacterium partial 16S ribosomal RNA
Rfam family: Bacterial small subunit ribosomal RNA
Source: RNAcentral
UAGGGAAUCUUCGGCAAUGGACGAAAGUCUGACCGAGCAACGCCGCGUGAGUGAAGAAGGUUUUCGGAUCGUAAAACUCUGUUGUUAGAGAAGAACAAGGACGUUAGUAACUGAACGUCCCCUGACGGUAUCUAACCAGAAAGCCACGGCUAACUACGUGCCAGCAGCCGCGGUAAUACGUAGGUGGCAAGCGUUGUCCGGAUUUAUUGGGCGUAAAGCGAGCGCAGGCGGUUUCUUAAGUCUGAUGUGAAAGCCCCCGGCUCAACCGGGGAGGGUCAUUGGAAACUGGGAGACUUGAGUGCAGAAGAGGAGAGUGGAAUUCCAUGUGUAGCGGUGAAAUUCGUAGAUAUAUGGAGGAACACCAGUGGCGAAGGCGGCUAUCUGGUCUGUAACUGACGCUGAGGCUCGAAAGCGUGGGGAGCAAACAGG